Long non-coding RNA from Nothoprocta perdicaria, 2033 nucleotides. RefSeq lists it as uncharacterized. NCBI's taxonomy places the organism in Eukaryota, Metazoa, Chordata, Aves, Tinamiformes, Tinamidae. The record is from RefSeq and is a predicted model, not a curated record. The transcript is spliced from 2 exons.
GGUGGCUGCUUCCCACGCGCCCAGCGUGCGCAUCGUCACAGGGUGGGGGUAGGAGACCAGCACACGUUUCUCCUGGCAAAACUAGAGCUGUAAGAGCCAAGCCCUGGUUUUGACUGCAGCUCGACCCCGCUGCAGCGCUGGUUGCUCAGAAGAUGGGCAGACGUCUGGAGCAUCUGCAGGUGCUUUGUGCCGUUGCCGAGUGCCCCCACCAGCGUGGUAUCAGCACCAAGCUCUGCCUUCUCUUGCUGCUCAGAACAGCGUUUCUGUCAGCCCAGCUGCCUAGAAGAGCAAAAGGAAAAACAAGGGUUGCAGGUCAAYGUUUCUCGCUGUGAAGUUUAACAGUAAGAAGUUCAGAAGUUCAGCAGAAUUUACUACUUUUUUUACAAGGCCUUUAAGCUGUCUUGAUAGCAACCACAUUACAGAUCUGYCUAAUGUGCCAGGUCCCUUGCUGGAGCUCCCCCGUAUCAGCACUGCUUGCCCAAGGCCCAGGGGCAAAGAGGCUGAGCUUAACCUAGGGGUGUUGAGCUGGAGAAAGGAAAGCGCUGGGAGCUCUGCCUUGCRCCAGCUCCCUGGUGCCUGCAGGGCAUCCGCGUCACCAGCGGCCUCGGCGUUGCUCUCCAGCGGUGCUGAAGACUCGGUGGAUGGAGACUGUCCCAGCCACGGCGAGGAAACGGGAAAGGGCAACGCUUUGCUCGUCAGCUCUCCCACCUAGAGGGCCCGGAGCGCCCCCGCUGCAGCCAGCCUGACAGUCAGGCUUCUCAGCAACUGCUUUCCAGAAGGGAAUCUGAGUUUCUUGGCGGGACCAAGGAAAUAACGUUGCGGCAGAGAUAUGAUGCUGGGCAUGGUCUGCCUGAAGAACUGGUCUCUCUGUGUGGUUUUCAUCUGAACACACAGCUUCCUCUUGCUCGAGACAGCCGCUUUCGGCAGAGAUGGGGGAGGACUGUACGAGCACUGAUGCUGGAUGGCCCUGGGCUUCUAAUGUUUCUUCAUGAAAGGUUCCAGUCUUACCCUUGACCUUUUUUAAGAGAUUUGAACUCUGAUAUUUGAAUAUUUUUAGCUGGGGAUUCUGUUACAGCCUCUGAGUACCUGGGUCUGCUGGGAGGCAGCGACGCGGCUUUGGCUGCGCUAGGCGCAAGCAAACCAGGCUGCAAACGCUGCUAAAGCCCUAGUGUGCUGCCCAGGAACGUGUCAGCAAGAUGCUCCCGCAAAUGUCACGGGUUUGCGGUCCUUAAAUGUGACAGCGUUUUGCAGUUGUUUCCUAAAAGCAAACUGUGCCUGCGGAAGGAGCUGUGGUUCACCCGGUGUGUGCCGCUUGCUGCGCUAAGGCAGCGGGAGCGCUCCGUGCCCGGCGUCCCGCUAUAAAUCCCCGCCUCGGCUGCAUUCGCUUGCUGUUCUGCCCAGGACCGAGCGUGGCCACUGCCGCAGGGAGCGGGGCUGGAGGCCGGGGCAGGAGCUGUGCCCGGGGCCGAGCAGCUCCGCAGAGGCACGGGCUGCUCUCCGUGCCCUCUCUCGGCUUCUGGAGCCUGAACGUGGCGGGACGUGAUCCUCGACCCUGGGGAGCUGCCCCUCGUGCGGGAUCGGSAUGUUUAAAUCUGGAUUCUGCUGGGGCAGCCCUGCUUUUCCUCRCGCACUUUCCCUGCGGCGGCUGCUCCGAAGCCUCUUCCCGGCGAGCUCAGGGURGCGCCGCUGGUGCAGGCCCUUUCCAUCCCAUGGAGCGGCUGCUCAUUAACACGGAGCAAGCCCCUGGCCCGGAGCAAGGCAGGCUGCUGGCGGAGCCUGCUGCGAACAGCACCUAGACCCCCUAACGAAGCAGCAGACCCCCAAAAGCUGCAGGUUGCCCUCCCCAACCCCAGGGCAGGGCCGUUGCCCCUGCCAGCUUGGAGGAGGGACCAUGGGUGCUCCUUCCUGCUGCUGCAGUCCGGGUUCCCUCUGGCUCUCCUGGUGGAGCUUCCCUCUUGCAGAACACUGCAGCYGCAGAGGGGCAGCCUUGGGAGGCCGAGAAGCCCUCUGGGAUGAAAGGCUGGGAGCAGAGG